GUAUUUCCCUACAUUAGGGAGCACGCCUGGAAAGUGUGUAUACGGCAACGUAUCGGGGGUUCGAAUCCCCCCCUCACCGCCA
This 82-nucleotide transfer RNA is filed under the name Klebsiella pneumoniae. RNAcentral describes it as "tRNA-OTHER". Lineage: Bacteria; Pseudomonadati; Pseudomonadota; Gammaproteobacteria; Enterobacterales; Enterobacteriaceae. The record is from RNAcentral.